Molecule: ribosomal RNA, 662 nt
Filed under: Escherichia coli
Lineage: Bacteria; Pseudomonadati; Pseudomonadota; Gammaproteobacteria; Enterobacterales; Enterobacteriaceae
Description: partial 23S ribosomal RNA
Rfam family: Bacterial large subunit ribosomal RNA
Source: RNAcentral
CGUGAGGGAAAGGCGAAAAGAACCCCGGCGAGGGGAGUGAAAAAGAACCUGAAACCGUGUACGUACAAGCAGUGGGAGCACGCUUAGGCGUGUGACUGCGUACCUUUUGUAUAAUGGGUCAGCGACUUAUAUUCUGUAGCAAGGUUAACCGAAUAGGGGAGCCGAAGGGAAACCGAGUCUUAACUGGGCGUUAAGUUGCAGGGUAUAGACCCGAAACCCGGUGAUCUAGCCAUGGGCAGGUUGAAGGUUGGGUAACACUAACUGGAGGACCGAACCGACUAAUGUUGAAAAAUUAGCGGAUGACUUGUGGCUGGGGGUGAAAGGCCAAUCAAACCGGGAGAUAGCUGGUUCUCCCCGAAAGCUAUUUAGGUAGCGCCUCGUGAAUUCAUCUCCGGGGGUAGAGCACUGUUUCGGCAAGGGGGUCAUCCCGACUUACCAACCCGAUGCAAACUGCGAAUACCGGAGAAUGUUAUCACGGGAGACACACGGCGGGUGCUAACGUCCGUCGUGAAGAGGGAAACAACCCAGACCGCCAGCUAAGGUCCCAAAGUCAUGGUUAAGUGGGAAACGAUGUGGGAAGGCCCAGACAGCCAGGAUGUUGGCUUAGAAGCAGCCAUCAUUUAAAGAAAGCGUAAUAGCUCACUGGUCGAGUCGGCCUGCGC